RNAcentral lists this ribosomal RNA (481 nucleotides) under uncultured bacterium. RNAcentral describes it as "partial 16S ribosomal RNA". It matches the Rfam family "Bacterial small subunit ribosomal RNA", at positions 28 to 507 of the family's 1533-position model. The record is from RNAcentral.
GAUGAACGCUGGCGGCGUGCUUAACACAUGCAAGUCGAACGAAGCACUUUAUUUGAUUUCCUUCGGGACUGAUUAUUUUGUGACUGAGUGGCGGACGGGUGAGUAACGCGUGGGUAACCUGCCUUGUACAGGGGGAUAACAGUUGGAAACGGCUGCUAAUACCGCAUAAGCGCACAGCAUCGCAUGAUGCAGUGUGAAAAACUCCGGUGGUAUAAGAUGGACCCGCGUUGGAUUAGCUAGUUGGUGAGGUAACGGCCCACCAAGGCGACGAUCCAUAGCCGACCUGAGAGGGUGACCGGCCACAUUGGGACUGAGACACGGCCCAAACUCCUACGGGAGGCAGCAGUGGGGAAUAUUGCACAAUGGGCGAAAGCCUGACGCAGCGACGCCGCGUGAGCGAAGAAGUAUUUCGGUAUGUAAAGCUCUAUCAGCAGGGAAGAUAAUGACGGUACCUGACUAAGAAGCACCGGCUAAAUACGUG